GGCAGCGCGGGGAAGCUUGCUUCCCUGGCGGCGAGUGGCGGACGGGUGAGUAACGCGUGGGAAUCUGCCCGGUUGUGGGGGAUAACCCGAGGAAACUCGGGCUAAUACCGCAUACCUCCUGAGGGAGAAAGGCGGGGAUCUCUUCGGAGACCUGUCGCAACCGGAUGAGCCCGCGUCCGAUUAGCUAGUCGGUGAGGUAAGAGCUCACCAAGGCGACGAUCGGUAGCUGGUCUGAGAGGAUGAUCAGCCACACUGGGACUGAGACACGGCCCAGACUCCUACGGGAGGCAGCAGUGGGGAAUAUUGGACAAUGGGGGCAACCCUGAUCCAGCAAUGCCGUGUGUGUGAAGAAGGCCUGCGGGUUGUAAAGCACUUUCAGUGGGGAAGAGGGGCUUCGAGUUGAUAACGCUCGGGGUUUGACGUUACCCACAGAAGAAGCACCGGCUAACUCCGUGCCAGCAGCCGCGGUAAUACGGAGGGUGCGAGCGUUAAUCGGAAUUACUGGGCGUAAAGCGCGCGUAGGCGGCCGAGUCAGUCAGAUGUGAAAGCCCCGGGCUUAACCUGGGAAUGGCAUUUGAGACUGCUCGGCUGGAGUCUGUCAGAGGGUGGCGGAAUUCCGGGUGUAGCGGUGAAAUGCGUAGAUAUCCGGAGGAACACCGGUGGCGAAGGCGGCCACCUGGGGCAAGACUGACGCUGAGGGGCGAAAGCGUGGGGAGCGAACAGGAUUAGAUACCCUGGUAGUCCACGCUGUAAACGAUGAGAACUGGGUGUUGGGACGGUUGGCGUCUCGGUGCCGAAGUCAACGCGAUAAGUUCUCCGCCUGGGGAGUAC
This 831-nucleotide ribosomal RNA is filed under the name uncultured bacterium. RNAcentral describes it as "bacterial SSU rRNA". It matches the Rfam family "Bacterial small subunit ribosomal RNA", at positions 68 to 883 of the family's 1533-position model. The record is from RNAcentral.